RNAcentral lists this ribosomal RNA (480 nucleotides) under uncultured bacterium. RNAcentral's name for it is "partial 16S ribosomal RNA". It matches the Rfam family "Bacterial small subunit ribosomal RNA", at positions 28 to 507 of the family's 1533-position model. The record is from RNAcentral.
GACGAACGCUGGCGGCGCGCUUAACACAUGCAAGUCGAGCGAUGAAACUUUAACAGAACCCUUCGGGGCGAAGAUAAAGUGGAUUAGCGGCGGACGGGUGAGUAACACGUGAGUAACCUGCCUUAGACAUUGGGAUAGCCUCGGGAAACCGGGAUUAAUACCAAAUAAAAUCAUAAUGACACAUGUCAUAACGAUCAAAACUCCGGUGGUCUAAGAUGGACACGCGUCCCAUUAGCUAGUUGGUAGAGUAAAAGCCUACCAAGGCGACGAUGGGUAGCCGGCCUGAGAGGGUGAACGGCCACAUUGGAACUGAGAAACGGUCCAAACUCCUACGGGAGGCAGCAGUGGGGAAUAUUGCACAAUGGAGGGAACUCUGAUGCAGCGACGCCGCGUGAACGAAGAAGGCUUUCGAGUCGUAAAGUUCUUUUAUAUGGGAAGAUAAUGACGGUACCAUAAGAAAAAGCCCCGGCUAACUACGUG